UUUCGCAAUGCCCGAAAGGGUGACGAAGCGACGCCGCGUGUGGGAAGAAGGCCUUCGGGUUGUAAACCACUGUCGGGAGUUUGGAAAUGUAAGGGUGCUAAUAGUAUCCUUGCUUGACUAAGGCUCCGGAGGAAGCCACGGCUAACUCUGUGCCAGCAGCCGCGGUAAUACAGAGGCGGCAAGCGUUGUUCGGAAUUAUUGGGCGUAAAGAGCACGUAGGCGGCCUUGUAAGUCAGUUGUGAAAGCCUUCUGCUUAACGGAAGAACAGCAGCUGAUACUGCAAGGCUAGAGUGCGGAAGGGGAGAGUGGAACUUCUGGUGGAGCGGUGAAAUGCGUAGAUAUCAGAAGGAACACCGGCGGCGAAGGCGACUCUCUGGUCCGUAACUGACGCUGAGUGUGCGAAAGCUAGGGGAGCAAACGGGAUUAGAUACCCCGGUAGUCCUAGCCGUAAACGAUGGGCACUAAGUAGAGGGGUUUUA
Molecule: ribosomal RNA, 479 nt
Filed under: uncultured Planctomycetota bacterium
Lineage: Bacteria; Pseudomonadati; Planctomycetota
Description: bacterial SSU rRNA
Rfam family: Bacterial small subunit ribosomal RNA
Source: RNAcentral